CAGUAGCCGCGGUAAUACGUAGGGUGCGAGCGUUAAUCGGAAUUACUGGGCGUAAAGCGUGCGCAGGCGGUUGUGUAAGACAGGUGUGAAAUCCCCGGGCUUAACCUGGGAACUGCGCUUGUGACUGCACAGCUAGAGUAUGGCAGAGGGGGGUGGAAUUCCACGUGUAGCAGUGAAAUGCGUAGAGAUGUGGAGGGACACCGAUGGCGAAGGCAGCCCCCUGGGCCAAUACUGACGCUCAUGCACGAAAGCGUGGGGAGCAAACAGGAUUAGAUACCCCUGUAGUCCCUGUCUCUUAUAC
Molecule: ribosomal RNA, 301 nt
Filed under: uncultured bacterium
Lineage: Bacteria
Description: partial 16S ribosomal RNA
Rfam family: Bacterial small subunit ribosomal RNA
Source: RNAcentral